Molecule: transfer RNA, 87 nt
Filed under: Candidatus Berkiella aquae
Lineage: Bacteria; Pseudomonadati; Pseudomonadota; Gammaproteobacteria; Candidatus Berkiellales; Candidatus Berkiellaceae
Description: Legionella-like amoebal pathogen HT99 tRNA
Rfam family: tRNA
About the family: Transfer RNA (tRNA) molecules are approximately 80 nucleotides in length.
Source: Rfam by way of RNAcentral
GGAGAGGUGUCUGAGCGGUCGAAAGAGCACGCCUGGAAAGUGUGUGUACGGUUAAACGUACCGAGGGUUCGAAUCCCUCUCUCUCCG